UUUUCUUUUUAAAUUGGUCUAACGUGGAAUCUAUUUUCUGCACCACUAGCCAAACGUUGGGUUUACUUAUAACCAUGAGGGGAUAAACAAAUUCACCAGUUCUAAGUCCUUGGAGAAGUCUUUUGCUCAUUUGAGCUUUUUCAGUAUUAUCAAAUUCGUUAAAUGAUCUUCGUAGAAGUCUUCUGCAUUUUAUGUGCAGUUGUGAAGGAUCUUAAGUAUCAUGACUCUCAUGAGUGGAUUAACGUUGAUUCUGUUGGCAUAACCAACCAUGCUCAGAAUUAUUUCGGUGAUGUUGUCUGUUGAAUUACUAGAAAUGGGGGCUCCUGUAUCACAGGGCAGCAGCUUUGGUGUGGUUGAAAGUGAUAUUUAUUGUCCCAUUUUUUGGAAAGUGGUUGAAGUGAACUAAGAGCUCGAUGACUCCCUGGAUCUGGUAGUUGCUGUCAGUAUGGACAAUGAUCUGUUGCUAUAGUGGUGGAAAGUGUGGUGUGUAUUUUUUUAAUUAAAUCAUAUGAAAUAUAGGCUGUGUGAUAUCUCAAAUGUAAUAUGAUUGUUGAACACACUAGUACCAUGAUUAUUAUUUGACUUAUUGAACUCACUUCUUUGAGAUUUAAAUUUGUCAUCGGACUACUUAUCAAAAAAAAAAAAAAAAAGGUCAUGGGACUAAGAUACUAGUGGCUCAUUUUUUAAGAGAAUUUCUAAGAACAAAGAAGGAAUUGUAUAGAUGUAAAAGGGUUUUAAAUGCUUUUGAAGCUUAACACGCCAAAUUCUUAAUUUGUCAGUGCAUUGCUCAUCUCUCUCUCUCUUAAUGCUUUUAUUGGAGUUCUGUUUUCUCUUAGGAAGUUAUCUGAUUAAAUUUCUAAUUGAUAUAUCCAUAUGGAAUAAAGAUGGUUCUCUAAUACAAAUGAUAAUCUAGUUCAUUGAUUUUGUAGUAUGCAGCAAUAUCUUUUCAUUUCUAGAUAUAGAAUCACUUAAGGGGAAGAAGCUUUACUAUAGUGUGUCGGUGUUGUGGAGAGGCAGUGGAUCACUUGUUGGUUCACUGCAAGGUUGCGUACCAAUUGUGGAGUCUUGCUUUGAGAUCUUUUUGUGUCUCUUGUUUUACCUGAGAGAGUGGUUGACCUUUUGUUUGGGUGGUACAAUUGGUUGGGGAAGCACUCCUCGGGUAUUAGGAACUUGGUGCCAUUAUGCUUGAUGUGGACAAUUUGGAGGAACGAAACAGGCGUACAUUUGAGGAUUUGGAGAGUAUGGGGGACAAGCUCAUUGCCUCAUUUAUAGACUCUUUGUUUGAUUGGUCUCAUGCUUAGGGAUUCACAUCUAGUGAUUCCAUUCCCAUGUUUUUUGAGUCUCUUUCUUGUUGUACAUAGCUUCUGUUUUUUUGGCAUAAUUAUUUUGGCUACUUUAUGCUUUCUUUUUUUAAAUUAAGCAUUCUUGUCUUUCAAAAUAUUAAUUGUUGAGAUGGGAUCUUUUUUGGUUUAUUAGAAAAUUGAUCUGCUUUCUCCAUGUUACAUGUGGUUUUGAAGGAUCUUAAGUACCUUGACUCUCAUGAGUGGGUGAAAGUUGAGGGGAAUUCUGCUACUGUUGGUAUAACCGACCAUGCUCAGGAUCAUUUAGGUGAUGUUGUCUACAUUGAAUUAUCGGAAGUGGGAGCUCCAGUAUCACAGGGCGACAGCUUUGGUGUGGUUGAAAGUGUCAAGGCUACUAAUGAUAUUAAUUCUCCCAUUUCAGGGAAAGUGGUUGAAGUAAACGAAGAGCUCAAUGACUCCCCUGGUCUGCCCAUAUGACAAAGGAUGGAUAAUUAAGGUUGAGGUGAGCGAUAGUGGUGAAUUGAAGAGCUUGAUGGAUGCAGAUAAGUACACCAAGUUCUGUGAAGAAGAUAAUAUUCACUGAGUGACUAUGGCCACGAAGAACUUUGGGCAAUUUUCAUGUAGGGGUUGUUCAUGGAUAAUCACGAUAAAUUACACAAUCCUUUAAGUGUGUGGUGCACAUAUCUUUCUUUCUAUUUUUAUCCAAACGUGUGCUUUCGCGGUUCUUCUUUUGUUACCUGAGAGCUAUAAAUUUAGUGGAUUUCUUAAGCAAAUAAUCAUUCUGGGUUUUUAGUUUCAUCUAUUGGUGCUGUUUAGGCAGGUUUGUGGUUUGAGAACCAUUUUCAUAAUAUUCGUUUGAGUUGAAUACUUAUUCAACAUAUGGGAUCUCAUUUUCUUGAUGCAUGGAGAACGCUUUCUUAUUCA
This is an RNA transcript of Quercus lobata, 2225 nucleotides long. It is a transcript of the gene named glycine cleavage system H protein 2, mitochondrial-like, with no coding region annotated. The transcript is spliced from 3 exons. NCBI's taxonomy places the organism in Eukaryota, Viridiplantae, Streptophyta, Magnoliopsida, Fagales, Fagaceae. The record is from RefSeq and is a predicted model, not a curated record.